Molecule: ribosomal RNA, 753 nt
Filed under: Seiridium vernicola
Lineage: Eukaryota; Fungi; Ascomycota; Sordariomycetes; Amphisphaeriales; Sporocadaceae
Description: partial large subunit ribosomal RNA
Rfam family: Eukaryotic large subunit ribosomal RNA
Source: RNAcentral
CGGCGAGUGAAGCGGCAACAGCUCAAAUUUGAAAUCUGGCCCUUGGGUCCGAAUUGUAAUUUGUAGAGGAUGAUUUUGGUGCGGUAUCUUCCGAGUUCCUUGGAACAGGACGCCUUAGAGGGUGAGAGCCCCGUACGGUUGAAUGCCUAGCCUCUGUAAAUCUCCUUCGACGAGUCGAGUAGUUUGGGAAUGCUGCUCUAAAUGGGAGGUAAAUUUCUUCUAAAGCUAAAUACUGGCCAGAGACCGAUAGCGCACAAGUAGAGUGAUCGAAAGAUGAAAAGCACUUUGAAAAGAGGGUUAAAUAGCACGUGAAAUUGUUGAAAGGGAAGGAUUUAUGACCAGACUUUUUCUGGGCGGAUCAUCCGGUGUUCUCACCGGUGCACUUUGCCCAGUUUAGGCCAGCAUCGAUUUUCGGAGAGGGAUAAAAGCUUUAGGAAUGUGGCUCCCCCGGGAGUGUUAUAGCCUAUUGUAUAAUACCUUUCUGGGGAUCGAGGUACGCGCUUCUGCAAGGAUGCUGGCGUAAUGGUUAUCAAUCACCCGUCUUGAAACACGGACCAAGGAGUCGAACAUUUGUGCGAGUGUUUGGGUGUUAAACCCUCACGCGUAAUGAAAGUGAACGGAGGUGAGAGCCCUUACGGGUGCAUCAUCGACCGAUCCUGAAGUUUUCGGAUGGAUUUGAGUAAGAGCAUAACUGUUCGGACCCGAAAGAUGGUGAACUAUGCGUGGAUAGGGUGAAGCCAGAGGAAACUCUGG